Molecule: transfer RNA, 72 nt
Filed under: Pan troglodytes (chimpanzee)
Lineage: Eukaryota; Metazoa; Chordata; Mammalia; Primates; Hominidae
Description: tRNA-Ala (AGC) (tRNA-Ala-AGC-7-1)
Rfam family: tRNA
About the family: Transfer RNA (tRNA) molecules are approximately 80 nucleotides in length.
Source: Rfam by way of RNAcentral
GGGGGUGUAGCUCAGUGGUAGAGCGCGUGCUUAGCAUGCACGAGGCCCUGGGUUCAAUCCCCGCCACCUCCA